Molecule: non-coding RNA, 815 nt
Organism: Biomphalaria pfeifferi
Lineage: Eukaryota; Metazoa; Mollusca; Gastropoda; Planorbidae
Source: the annotation of a GenBank genome assembly
GUUUUAGAACAUCAUAACAUUUAUUUGAGUCUCCUGGUUUCAAUGUCAGAGGAUAGUUAACCAACAAUACAGUAAAACUAACGACUUACUGAGCCAGUUAUAGACAUGGAAGACUACUGAAGUUAAUGGAAAAUAAUAACAUAAAAAAACAAUAUUCCAAUCAUAACCAAGAAAAUAAUACUUGCCAAUUCUAGUACGACAGCUAGAAUGUUUACAUAUAACAAAACAUGGCACACAACAUAACAUUGCAAAAAACAUAACAUUCUAAAUUCCAAUCAGAAUACAUCAAUGAUGCAGUCAGUACUGCAUACAUUUACAAAAACUUUGCUGCUCAUAACCAGAUAUAACAUUCAACUUAAAAUAUUCAACAAAAUGUAACAUUAACUACUUCCAUGUGUAAAUUUAUGGGCUAUGCAUUUUAUUUUUAAAAAAAACAACAAUUACAGACAUGCAUAAAUACAUUGAAGAUUAAAUAUUGAAACAUAUAUUGCUUUUUUUUUUAAACUGUUCACCUAAGAACCCAUUGAUUUAGCUCAACCCAUCUGUCCUUUAGGAGCAAGAUUAUUCUAAGAUUGUGUGUGAUAUCCAUCAGCAUGAGAAAUGAUGGCCUAGACCUUGGUUUGCUUUUCACUCCCUGACCCAGGGAUCCAUGUCUGGUUCAUAAAAUGAAGGUCUCCCCCCAAACAUCUCUUAUAAGGCAAUAGGAUAGAAGAAUCAAACAUUAUCAAUGUGGCUAUCAUUAAAGAAGAGGCAAAGAAAACAAGGCACUAAUAUUGACUACAAAAGUAAGAUCCAACUAGAAACUAAUAUUGACU